This is a small nuclear RNA of Lemur catta (Ring-tailed lemur), 104 nucleotides long. NCBI's taxonomy places the organism in Eukaryota, Metazoa, Chordata, Mammalia, Primates, Lemuridae. The record is from RefSeq and is a predicted model, not a curated record.
GCGCUCGCUUGGGCAGCACAUAUACUAAAAUUGGAAUGAUACGGAGAUUAGCAUGGCCCUUGCACAAGGAUGACACGCAAAUUCGUGAAGCGUUCUUAAAAAAA